This 307-nucleotide long non-coding RNA is filed under the name Dasypus novemcinctus (nine-banded armadillo). RNAcentral describes it as "lncRNA (ENSDNOG00000051463.1)". Lineage: Eukaryota; Metazoa; Chordata; Mammalia; Cingulata; Dasypodidae. The record is from RNAcentral.
GGGACCUGGCGCUGCCGAGCAGUGAGGACUCAUUUCUGCACUGCGCGCUCCACGGAGCAGGUACCCGCGGCUCUGGGACGGCUCGGGCGCGUCCGCGGACUUAAGAUACUAUCAACUGCAUAAAAAGAGAGUCCUUCAAACAGAUGAUCCUUUUUCUAGAAAGAAGCUGAGCAUUGUGCUUAUCUGAUUUUGAGUGAAAACACAGAGGAAGACUGUUUUCAGCUGAGCUAUUGACAAUGCUACCACUGGUGAGUAGGGAAUUCUUUGUACUGAAAUUACCCAUGCGUUGUCAGCAGACGGGAAGGUU